Molecule: small RNA, 194 nt
Filed under: Syntrophothermus lipocalidus
Lineage: Bacteria; Bacillati; Bacillota; Clostridia; Eubacteriales; Syntrophomonadaceae
Also listed under: 1 other name
Description: c-di-AMP sequence
Rfam family: c-di-AMP riboswitch aptamer (ydaO/yuaA leader)
About the family: This family represents a conserved RNA structure found upstream of the ydaO and yuaA genes in Bacillus subtilis and related genes in other bacteria.
Source: RNAcentral
CUUGUCUGAUCGCUGAGUCUUCUUCGUUAGAAGAAGAGCGGGGGAACCAUUUCAUGUUUGGGGUGAAUCCUUGCGGGCACCGGCUCGAACGGCAGGAAUUCUUUGAAACGGCUAAGCGUUCGGCCAAAGCAGGGUAGGGCUAUCCCUGAGCCCGAAUCCGUCAGCUAACCUCGUAAGCGUCAUUUGGGGGAGAC